CUAGCUGCGGCAAGCGACGGUCCUCGUGAGAGGUCAAAAGGGAAUACCGGUGCGGGGUGCGUAACCCCAAGGCCGGAGCUGCCCCCGCAACUGUGAGCGGUUGAGGCGCGAACCAUGACAGCCACUGGAUCUUCCGCCCUCCCGGCGGCGAUCUGGGAAGGCGGUUCGCUUCAAUGAUCCGCAAGCCAGGAGACCUGCCCUCGCGAUGGAAGCCAUG
Molecule: non-coding RNA, 217 nt
Filed under: Hyphomicrobiales bacterium
Lineage: Bacteria; Pseudomonadati; Pseudomonadota; Alphaproteobacteria; Hyphomicrobiales
Source: RNAcentral